UACAGAGGGGGCAAGCGUUGUUCGGAAUUACUGGGCGUAAAGGGCGCGUAGGCGGCCACCUAAGUCAGACGUGAAAUCCCUCGGCUCAACCGGGGAACUGCGUCUGAUACUGAGUGGCUUGAAUUCGGGAGAGGAAUGCGGAAUUUCAGGUGUAGCGGUGAAAUGCGUAGAUAUCUGGAGGAACACCGGUGGCGAAGGCGGCAUUCUGGACCGACAUUGACGCUGAGGCGCGAAAGCCAGGGGAGCAAACGGG
RNAcentral lists this ribosomal RNA (253 nucleotides) under uncultured bacterium. RNAcentral describes it as "partial 16S ribosomal RNA". It matches the Rfam family "Bacterial small subunit ribosomal RNA", at positions 524 to 776 of the family's 1533-position model. The record is from RNAcentral.